GGUGAUAUCGUCCAGAGGUUUAGGACAUUGCGUUAUGGUUACCAUUAUUACUAUUCCGCAAAGACGAGGGUUCGAAUCCCUCUAUCAUCA
Xylariaceae sp. FL0662B is the source of this 90-nucleotide non-coding RNA. The record is from the annotation of a GenBank genome assembly. NCBI's taxonomy places the organism in Eukaryota, Fungi, Ascomycota, Sordariomycetes, Xylariales, Xylariaceae.